AUGGAUAUUCUGAGGAUCCUGGCAAUUGUGGGGACAUUCUGCCUCAUCUCUUAUGAGAUUGUGUCUGCUGUUAGAAGUCGACUACCUGACGAACCGGGCCUCAUCUACCACAGAGACCAGCUGGUGCAACUUGGAUUACAAACCCACCUCAUGACAAACACGGACUGCUUUCCAGAAGAAAUCAUUCGCAAAAACUUCUCCAACCAGCAAAGACCUACAUGCAAUAAGACCAGUUACACUGAUGAAAGAACCACUAGGACCAGUGCUUCAACAUCAGAGGCAGCAGCAGAGCAGGCCAGGGUCAUGGUUGAGGCAGCCCAGGGAGCAGAGCAGAGCCAGGAAGAGCCAGUAGAAGGAGAAAGGCAGAUGCAGGAUGCAACACAGCCUCCCCCACCAAAGAAGACAGCGUUGGAAGAUCUCCUUGGGAGCUCCUACACUACUGUUGGGACAGUGCAGACCAGCAGAGGGAUUGAAAUGGAGAUAAUCUCCUACAGGAGUGGGAUUCCCAUCCCACUCAACAGAAGUCCACCUGAGUGGUGGAAAGUUAAUGCUUAUGCUUACCCCAUACUUGCCCCCCUUGCCAAAGCCUACCUUUGCAUUCCUGUUACAUCAGUGCCCAGUGAGCGUGUCUUUUCCACAGCAGGAGACAUUGUGUCUGCUCAAAGAUCACUGAUUACACCAGAACAUGUUGAUAUGUUAGUUUUUUGAAGAAGAACCAGUCCUGAGAUAAGUUAAUCAAGGCCUAUAGCAGCACUAAGGGUAUUCCUGUUUGUGUUUGGCCUGUUAGGCCUUGUGUUUCCCUGUGUGCAACUGGAAAAAAAAUAAACAAGUAGUUAUUAUACAGUAAUAUUUUUUCCUUUUUUUUUCUUAUCUGAUAUCGUAUCGUGACGUAUCGUUUCGUGACUCAGACAUAUCAAGGUGCAUUGUUUCGUGAGUUUAAGUAGACCGUCCCAUUCCUAUUGCAUGUACUUAAGGUUUUAAAUAUCACAAUAAAGACUGCACACCGAUUUUAAAAAAGAACAUUUUAGAGCGGGGUCGGCAACCUGUUCCCAUCAAAGAGCCAUUAUUACCCAUUUCCCACAGUAAAGAAAACACUGGGAGCCACAGCAGCCGUGGCAUUGUGGGCGGGGCCUAUCCUCAGACAGCAGAGCGCUGCUCACAACAGGUGACAGCAGCCGGUACCGGUCGCUCGUGUACGUCAAAGUUAUCUUUCAUAAGAUGAUAAUCAAUAAAAUGAUUUAUAUAAAGUAGAUCCAGAAGUUGUAGCCCGUCUCUGCCUACAAUAUUUUGAUAUUUUCACCCUGUUGGUGGUUUUUCUGAGCAGGUGCCACUUUUGUCAUACGUUUCUUUUUAAAACAUGUUUAGACUGUUCAGAAUACAAAUCCAGGCUCUGUCACAUUUGAUUGUUGUACUUAAACUUUGUAGGUGGGGAAGGUCCGAAAAGGAUCCGAUCAUUUUGUUUUUCCCUCAUUUACAGCGACGGAGAUAACGGCGCAGUGCGCCUGGCUCUGGUGUUAAUCAAGUUUAAUUUUAUCUCUUUGCAACAAUUUUCACAAGAAAACAGAACAGUUAAAAGCAGGGCUUGUGUUGACCGGAUAGUUCCCAUAUUUGACCAUUUAUUUUGACGGAGAAAGAAUAGAAAGAAUUACCCCGACGCAUGCAGACGAACUGACAUUUUAUUCNNNNNNNNNNNNNNNNNNNNNNNNACUUUAUUCGUUUCGCACAUCGCAGAUGUAGCUAAAUCACUCAAGAAAAGAUUCCCAUCUGAACAUCUGAGCUGGACACUGCUCAGCGCAGCUCACUGUCGGUGCGUACGUCCGGCGCACAGCGAGCUGAAGAUGUGGAGAGGGGCUUGGAGCGCGUCGCAGAACCAGAGCGCAUGCAGGAAGAUUCCUCCCACUGAAGCGAGACUUGUCACUUAGAAAAUGUUCCCUGAUUAUGAAACUUUGGCUGAAUAGUGCUCUUUCCUGUCUCCAACGUGGCGACACAUCCAGGAGCCGUCUGAGGAGAGUCCCAGAAUCACACAUCCUCGUCAGCUCAGAAUGCACCUAUGAUUACGCACGAGCGUGACCCGUCAACCCGGUCUCACAGUAAGACCGGGUUGGACCUGUUCAGGUUUACGUAGACAAUCUUUACAUUUAGAAUUGGCAUAAAGAUGUCAAAUUAAUUCAGUAAAAUGUAAUGCUUUUUAUUUAAAUAUCCGUUCAUUAUUUUACAAGCACGGAGAGCCGCAUCAGAUGGAUGGAAGAGCCGCAUCAUGCGGGUUGCCGACCCCUGUUUUAGAGGAAUCACAACAUUAUUGCAUGUCUUUAUUUUACUGCAAAAACGUCUAAUCAUGAUGACAAACAACUUCUGAACUCUUCCUGACCCAGGCCAUGUUCACACACAGAAUAUUUAUUAAAUAUUUUAAAAAAUAAAGACUUAGCCUUUUUUUUUUGGCCAUUUUCAUCUAAGUGAUUUUAUUUUUGACAGACCUUUCACAAAAUGAGCUACUUGGCUCUUGUGAAACUGACUAAAACCUGAUGGUGAUGCGUAUUGCAGCUAUUAACAAAAAUAGGUAAAAAUGCAUCACAGAUAUCAUAAUUAGCCCACCCUGAAAAGCUCUCAGAGUUCCUAUAAAAUCUGCAGCAUGUACCAGAAUAUGACAACAAACAGUCCUGAUAGUGUUAUUUUUACUCCUGACUGCAGAUUCACUGUCACAGGAAGACAUGUGGAGCCCACACAUGAUGACUUAUAAACAUAACCCUGUGGCACAAACCAAACAACCCAAAGGAAGAGGUAAUUAAGAUACACCUCCUGACAUUCAUUUCUGUAACAAACAGCCAAACCGAGCGUGACUUCUGGAAAAUCAAAUCAAAUGAAUUCUGGCUAAAAGACUGAAUUUGUACUCAGCUGAAGCAGAGCAUGGGGAUGACUGUCUAGCUCGUCACAGAAAACGCUGCUGAACUGAGAAAAGAUAAGAGCAGUUGAGCUGAUGAAUAAUUUUCACGUGUCGCCGAUGUAGAAAAAGGUGAACGAGGGGCAGCAGAGCUAGAAUGACCACAAGGAUCUAAAGCACCAAAUCACUGCCUUUUUAUCUGAUGUUACCUUGCAAGAAAUUAAUCAAGAAUGGGAAGAUUAUAGUGAUUAAAAGGCAAGAGAGGGGUUCACUAAACAAGAAAUAGCUAUUUUAGACUAUGACGUCUUUUUCUGUGACUCUAAUCAGUUUGAAAUGGACAUGUGUCUUUGGCGCGAUUUAAAGCUUUCGAGUCUUUCCACCUUCCCUAUCUCAAAAGUCCUGGCUCAGCCUUAAGCCUUACAUCUGCAGGCAGAAAGGUAAUGUGAAUUCAGAUGUAAAAGUUUGAUCAGAACACGCUGACUCCUUAAUUGCAGCUGACACGAAGGUCUGUGAUCAGAUCCCAACAAGGGGUACAAAGGGCCCAUCGCUCAGCAGGAUAACAGUCAAUUUACGGUCAUUCCUGUUGUUGGAAUGUUCACGUCGGAUCAACAGGACAUUUCCAUGACCUGUUAAAAUAAUUAGAGCUUGUCAACAACAUAGUACAUCUGGAAACUUUAUCAGUGUGAAAAUAAAGAUCUUUUUGUGAGCAGACAUCUCGAGUUGCCCUCCUGCACCUUGAUAACACGAUGUAUACAUCAAAAUACUUCCAACAAUCCCAGACAUUAUGGAGGCCAUAUCAUGUCAAAUACACUUUCUGGAGCUUUUUAGCAUGUAAUAUUGUUGUUCCCUCAUGAAAAAUACACCCAAAGUUAUUUUUGGCUGCAUUCAUGCAUUUUCCUGUUUCAGUUGCAAACUUUGAAUUUUAUUUUGACAUUCCUGAAAUGGCAAAAUGUAAAAGUUGUAUGUCAUCCUGCUCCCAACGUCCGACUCCUCUCUAGGAACCUGGUUGGUCUGAAACCUGUCUGCCCUGGCCAGUUUAGGACAUCUAGCAUUGGCAGCAAGUGUCAUGUUACAGACUUGACAGUCGAGUGGUUAGUGUUGGAUGCAAGCAGCUAAAAAUAUUUUGACACACUUCAGUUUUUGAUCGUGAUGUGAUGGUAGGAAUUUUGAUCCAACACACGGAGACUAUAGUUGAGUACUGUACAGUCAAUCGAAGGGAUUAUUCAGUCAGUUAAAAAGCCUAAGUGACUUUUUGCAAGUAGGUCACAAGCAGGAAUGGCAACAGAUGAAGAGCCGG
Molecule: long non-coding RNA, 4175 nt
Filed under: Nothobranchius furzeri (turquoise killifish)
Lineage: Eukaryota; Metazoa; Chordata; Actinopteri; Cyprinodontiformes; Nothobranchiidae
Description: lncRNA (ENSNFUG00015019350.1)
Source: RNAcentral